UGUCAUUUUAACGUAUUAAUUAUUGGUUGAUUGAACUAAAAAUUUAUGGUUAUUUUGACCAAUUAAAAAAGGUAAUUCCAACCUAUAUUCAAAAGUUAAAAUGACUAAAAUUUAAACUGUCAAAUUGAGCAUAUUUCAACCAAAUAAAUAUAGGUUGUUUUAACUAUAAUACAAAUGGCGGAUAUUCACCAAUAAUAUUUUGGUUGAUUUGGCCAAUUUUUUUAGUUAUAACAACCAGUAAAUAACGGUCAAAGUCGGAGUACGAAACAUCGCGCACUUUCGUUGGUCAAAUGAUGUUGCGUCAACUGAAUAAGAUGCGCUAAAACAAAAUAGCUAAACAAUAAUUCUGCAGGCAAUUAAUCAUCCAAGUACGCUAUAAUCAAACAAUAUUAUGAACUGUAUAUAAAAAUAUAUUUUGUAACAUCUAAAAUUACAGUAAGUACACAGUAGUACGUUUUGUGUUACUAUAGCCUGUGUUCCAGUUGACUACACUGUUACUGACACACAGGCUAGAGAGUUGCAUGGUUUUGUCAAGUAUUAUAUAUUAUCAUGAAAUCAUGGCUAAGCACUUAGUGCUUAGCAUUAAUUAGAUCGCGAUCACCAUGCAACCCCGGCCUGUUUGUGCAUUCUCAAUCUCUCAUUAUUAUAAUAUGUUACAACAAUCGAUCGCCAUAUAAUCUUAGUUCUAGCUUGUGUUCUAUAGUUCACCGAUUGGCAGAGUUUGACCAAUCCUUCCCAGCCGAAUAUGCUCGAGGAACAUUGCCAAGGCCAUUGAGGUAUUCAGCAUUAAGAACAAAAUACCGUAAACCUCCGACUGUAAGCCCUGGGCUUAUAUUUUUCCGUAAGCGAUUUUUGAUGGGCUUAUACAAGGAGGGGCUUAUAUACAGGGGGGGGGGCUUAUACAUGGACGAUCUUUUGUGUUAGUGUAAUAGUGACAAACAAGUAUAGUAAUAGUGAUAAACAAGUGUUAAGCAUACUAGCAUGCAUAGUAAUAAUAGUGAAUAAUAGUGGUAAGUGGUAAUAGUGAUAAACAAUAAAUGGUGAUAACUGAUAAACAAGUGGGCUUAUAUUCGGGGGGGGGCUUAUAUUUGGAAUGAGGUGAGCGUUACUACAUGUGGUGGGCUUAUACACGGGGGGGGCUUAUAUUCGGGAGGGGCUUAUAUUCGGGGGAGGCUUAUAUUCGGAGGUUUACGGUACGCUGCUAAUACGCAU
Molecule: non-coding RNA, 1212 nt
Organism: Paramuricea clavata
Lineage: Eukaryota; Metazoa; Cnidaria; Anthozoa; Malacalcyonacea; Plexauridae
Source: the annotation of a GenBank genome assembly